RNAcentral lists this long non-coding RNA (209 nucleotides) under Pelobates cultripes (western spadefoot toad). The record is from RNAcentral. Lineage: Eukaryota; Metazoa; Chordata; Amphibia; Anura; Pelobatidae.
CUAUAAACAAUUACAUUACACACACCCUGCACCUAUAAUGGGUACAGGGUGACUAAAACAUAGGAUAAAUAAAGCAGCCCACAUAAAUAGUCUGUCUGAAGGUAGACUAGGGGCUUUAAAGCCAGAUAGAUGAAAGAGUCAUAGUCACAGGGGAGGAGGCUGGCAAGUAGGUCUCUCCAGGACCAAGUGGCGAAGGGCACUUCGUCACA